GAUGAACGCUGGCGGCGUGCCUAAUACAUGCAAGUCGAGCGAACAGACGAGGAACUUGCUCCUCUGACGUUAGCGGCGGACGGGUGAGUAACACGUGGAUAACCUACCUAUAAGACUGGGAUAACUUCGGGAAACCGGAGCUAAUACCGGAUAAUAUAUUGAACCGCAUGGUUCAAUAGUGAAAGACGGUUUUGCUGUCACUUAUAGCUGGAUCCGCGCCGCAUUAGCUAGUUGGUAAGGUAACGGCUUACCAAGGCGACGAUGCGUAGCCGACCUGAGAGGGGGAUCGGCCACACUGGAACUGAGACACGGUCCAGACUCCUACGGGAGGCAGCAGUAGGGAAUCUGCCGCAAUGGGCGAAAGCCUGACGGAGCAACGCCGCGUGAGUGAUGAAGGUCUUCGGAUCGUAAAACUCUGUUAUUAGGGAAGAACAAAUGUGUAAGUAACUAUGCACGUCUUGACGGUACCUAAUCAGAAAGCCACGGCUAACUACGUG
Molecule: ribosomal RNA, 497 nt
Filed under: uncultured bacterium
Lineage: Bacteria
Description: partial 16S ribosomal RNA
Rfam family: Bacterial small subunit ribosomal RNA
Source: RNAcentral